RNAcentral lists this unclassified non-coding RNA (327 nucleotides) under soil metagenome. RNAcentral describes it as "partial contains 5.8S ribosomal RNA, internal transcribed spacer 2, and large subunit ribosomal RNA". The stretch from base 1 to 120 matches the Rfam family "5.8S ribosomal RNA", at positions 35 to 154 of the family's 154-position model. The record is from RNAcentral.
GAUGAAGAACGCAGCGAAAUGCGAUAAGUAAUGUGAAUUGCAGAAUUCAGUGAAUCAUCGAAUCUUUGAACGCACAUUGCGCCCCUUGGUAUUCCGGGGGGCAUGCCUGUUCGAGCGUCAUUAUAACCCCUCAAGCUCAGCUUGGUGUUGGGGCCUGCCGACUGGCAGCCCUUAAAAUCAGUGGCGGCGCCAUCUGGCUCUAAGCGUAGUAAUUUCUCUCGCUAUAGAGUCCCGGUGGAUGCUUGCCAGUAACCCCCAACUUUCUAUGGUUGACCUCGGAUCAGGUAGGGAUACCCGCUGAACUUAAGCAUAUCAAUAAGCGGAGGA